Molecule: long non-coding RNA, 934 nt
Organism: Hylaeus volcanicus
Lineage: Eukaryota; Metazoa; Arthropoda; Insecta; Hymenoptera; Colletidae
Exons: 3
Source: RefSeq, a predicted model, not a curated record
AAAAUGUUUUCAAUUUAGACUUUUUAUGUAGGAUUUAAUAACAAAUUGGAGCCAGUGUUGUAAAGUGUUGAUCAAUCUUGACUACAAGAUCCAUACCACCGAAGUGUUUUGAAUUUAAGCUUUUUAUGCAGAGCUUGUGGAAAUGAAGGGGGCCCACAGGAUUGGAGGUUAUUCGUUAACAAAUUGCAGCAACUAUUGUAAAAUGUUUAUCCAUUUUCAUUACAAGAGCUUAUAGAAAUGUGUAGCAUACGAAAUUCAAGAAAUACGAAAAGCGAGCGUACGAAACUUCUAGAACAUAGGAGAGAGGCCGCCGCGCGAUGCGAGACGCGAGGCGCGGACCGCGAACUCGCGAACCUUCUCGCCUAACGACGCGACUGUUGACAACCGCGGCCGCGGAUAGCAACCAUGCGAUAUAAAUUGAGGGCUCGUAGAGGCAUUCGGCCUAUUUGCCACUCCGGGAGAGAGGACGAGGUAAGACCAUCGGCCGCUCUCGGAACUCGGCUUAGGGACUCCGACAGGAGAGUUCGGCGAUAAUACCUGGACGCCUGUUGAGUAGGAGAAAACAGAACUACUCGUGGACAUCCCAGUUAGAGCUAGGGGGAGGUUAUUCCUGGACGUCCGUUCGUUUUUUGGAGAGUUCGGCGAUAAUACCUGGACGCCAAUUACGAGCGGGAGAGUACAGAAUGAUUCUUCUAUUUCAAAGAUUGAAAAUUGUAAAAUAUUGUCAAAUGAGAAAUUGUAUUAUGCUUUUCUAUAUAAUUCCGUUCAUUCUAAAUUCCUGUUACAAUUAUCCAUUCCCAAUCCUCUGUAUAACCAUGUUCCUCACAAUAAACCUUUGUCUGUCCAGAAUUCUUUUCCUUGAUUCCUUAACCAUGGCUACAAACGGAGUUAUUUUCGCAUUUCAUCAUUAACAUUAAAAUUUUUUGCAGCAAGA